AAGCUCGUAGUUGAAUUUCGGGAUCAAUGGGUUGGUCAUGCCCUCGGUAUGUACUGAUUUCAUUGGUUCUCACCUUCUAAGGAACCAUGAUGUCAUUUAUUUGGUGUUGUGGGAAAUUAGGACUGUUACCUUGAAAAAAUUAGAGUGUUUAAAGCAGGCUAACGCUUGAAUACAUUAGCAUGGAAUAAUGAAAUAGGACAUCCGAUUCUAUUUUGUUGGUUUCUAGGAUCGAUGUAAUGAUUAAUAGGGAUAGUUGGGGGCAUUAGUAUUCAAUUGUCAGAGGUGAAAUUCUUGGAUUUAUUGAAGACUAACUACUGCGAAAGCAUUUGCCAAGGAUGUUUUCAUUAAUCAAGAACGAAAGUUAGGGGAUCGAAGACGAUCAGAUGCCGUCGUAGACUUAACCAUAAACUAUGCCGACUAGGGAUCGGAUGAUGUUAAUUUUUUAAUGACUCAUUCGGCGCCUUACGGGAAACCAAAGUGUUUGGGUUCCGGGGGGAGUCUGGUCGCAAGGCUGAAACUUAAAGGAAUUGACGGAAGGGCACCACCAGGGGUGGAGCCUGCGGCUUAAUUUGACUCAACACGGGGAAA
RNAcentral lists this ribosomal RNA (588 nucleotides) under uncultured Glomus. RNAcentral's name for it is "SSU rRNA". It matches the Rfam family "Eukaryotic small subunit ribosomal RNA", at positions 624 to 1213 of the family's 1831-position model. Lineage: Eukaryota; Fungi; Glomeromycota; Glomeromycetes; Glomerales; Glomeraceae. The record is from RNAcentral.